GAUCAUGGCUCAGGAUGAACGCUAGCGACAGGCUUAACACAUGCAAGUCGAGGGGCAGCAUGAGGUAGCAAUACCUUGAUGGCGACCGGCGCACGGGUGAGUAACGCGUAUCCAACCUGCCCUUUACUCGGGGAUAGCCUUCUGAAAGGAAGUUUAAUACCCGAUGAAUUCGUUUAGUCGCAUGGCUUGAUGAAGAAAGAUUUAUCAGUAAAGGAUGGGGAUGCGUCCCAUUAG
Molecule: ribosomal RNA, 234 nt
Filed under: uncultured bacterium
Lineage: Bacteria
Description: partial 16S ribosomal RNA
Rfam family: Bacterial small subunit ribosomal RNA
Source: RNAcentral